Molecule: non-coding RNA, 592 nt
Organism: Punica granatum (pomegranate)
Lineage: Eukaryota; Viridiplantae; Streptophyta; Magnoliopsida; Myrtales; Lythraceae
Source: RefSeq, a predicted model, not a curated record
AGUUUAUAUAACAUCGAUUCAUCACAAACCCGGUAGAGCUAGUAUAGAGCUGUAAGUCGAAUCCAAUUGAUCGUAUCACACGCAGAGAGAAAGAGAGAUAUAGAGAGGUAGAGGAGGAGAAGGAAGGAUCGAUGGAGAAAGCUGCAACAUUCACGACUGCAACUCCGUUGUUUGUGGCUAUUCGGAUCUUUACGGUUCUCGCUAUCAUUCUACUGUACCUCCCCCCGCUGGCUUGUGGCGCCCGUCGUCUUCUCGAUAAGGUUACUGUUGUGGGUCAUCCGCCUCCAAAGCAAUGCCCUUGUAUUCCUUAAGGCUUUGCCUGGAUUAAGCAUAUAGGAUUUUAGCCUCGGAAAAUAAAGAAAGUAAGACAAAGGACCAUGGAAAGUUGCACUGACGAAAAUUAAAUUCGAAAAAUUUUUUAAAUAAUAAAAGGGGUAUAGUGCAGUAAUAUACGUCUUUGUUGGCGUACCUGUGCCCUUCAUUAAUUAUUAAUAUUUUUAUUUCAUUGUACUAGACCUACAUGUUUCCCUUGUAACAAAAAAGAAAUCAAGACUUUUUAGUUCUGAGUCGAUGACUUACGUGAUUGCACUAA